CAGCCUACGGGAGGCAGCAGUGGGGAAUAUUGGGCAAUGGGCGCAAGCCUGACCCAGCAACACCGCGUGAAGGAAGAAGGCUUUCGGGUUGUAAACUUCUUUUCUGAGGGACGAAGAAAGUGACGGUACCUCAGGAAUAAGCCACGGCUAACUACGUGCCAGCAGCCGCGGUAAUACGUAGGUGGCAAGCGUUAUCCGGAUUUAUUGGGUGUAAAGGGCGUGUAGGCGGGAAAGCAAGUCAGAUGUGAAAACUCAGGGCUCAACCCUGAGCCUGCAUUUGAAACUGUUUUUCUU
RNAcentral lists this ribosomal RNA (294 nucleotides) under uncultured bacterium. Its description in RNAcentral is "partial 16S ribosomal RNA". It matches the Rfam family "Bacterial small subunit ribosomal RNA", at positions 332 to 643 of the family's 1533-position model. The record is from RNAcentral.